AGCGCUCAUAGUCGGCGGCAAUGCGGUCGAGCGUUUCCAGUACGCGCGGUUUGAGCGCGGCUUCCAUCGCCGAGAGCGACA
Molecule: transfer RNA, 81 nt
Filed under: Roseinatronobacter ekhonensis
Lineage: Bacteria; Pseudomonadati; Pseudomonadota; Alphaproteobacteria; Rhodobacterales; Paracoccaceae
Description: Roseibaca ekhonensis tRNA-Trp
Source: RNAcentral